RNAcentral lists this transfer RNA (72 nucleotides) under Methanococcoides methylutens MM1. RNAcentral describes it as "tRNA-Gly (TCC) (tRNA-Gly-TCC-1-1)". It matches the Rfam family "tRNA". From Rfam's summary of the family: Transfer RNA (tRNA) molecules are approximately 80 nucleotides in length. Their secondary structure includes four short double-helical elements and three loops (D, anti-codon, and T loops). RNAcentral also lists the same sequence under 1 other name. The record is from Rfam by way of RNAcentral. Lineage: Archaea; Methanobacteriati; Methanobacteriota; Methanomicrobia; Methanosarcinales; Methanosarcinaceae.
GCGCUGAUGGUCUAGUGGCUAUGACUGUGGCCUUCCAAGCCAUAAACCCGGGUUCAAAUCCCGGUCGGCGCA